This 2584-nucleotide long non-coding RNA is filed under the name Homo sapiens (human). RNAcentral describes it as "novel transcript". The record is from RNAcentral. Lineage: Eukaryota; Metazoa; Chordata; Mammalia; Primates; Hominidae.
GUCUCGCUCCCUCCGGUGUGUCUGGCUUGUCUGGGAGCGUCUGCUGUUACUGAAGUCCCAGCUUUGCCUCCGUCUUUCUCCCUCUAACCCAAGACAAAGAGCAGUGUGCUGGAUUCCUGCUGUUGCUAAAUUCUGGACUGCUCCACGCCCCUGGGUUUGGCUUCUGUGUUCUUCCACCCAUUCUCUGCAUUACAUUUCCUCCCUGUGAAAUGUCUUGAGUCAAUUCUGUCUCUCGACUAGACCACGCCUGCAACACUAACUGUUCCGUUCGGACAGAAGGUUCCUGAGAACACACUGGCGCUGCUGCGCUCCACAGGACUGCUGCUCACAGGGAAAACAGAGACAGAGAUGGAGAAGGAGACUCCUGAGUUCAUCAAGAAACACCUUGAUCCAGCCUUGCUUGGAACGUUGGGGUAGAUGAACAACAGGAGAAUGGACAAGACAUCAUAAAGGCGGUAAUCAUGCUUCCUUCGGCCAGAAACGGUCCCCAUCCCAUCUAUUGAUGAGAACGCAGCCAUGUGACCACAUCUCCUUGCCAGGCAGGCUGGGCAAUGUGGCUUCACCACGUACCAAGGAAGGAGGAGCAGCAACUGGUGAGCAUACAGCGCAGCACCCACUUGUGGUGCCAGACCAUCAGGUAAGGCCAGACACAGCCGGGCAGCCUGGCAGCAAGGACAACGAAACCUGGAGCUGGUUUAUCGGUGACGAGUGGAAUCUGUUUCCUGAAGAGCCUGAGAAGGCAAAGAGCCUCCUCUGCGGGAAGACGGGAGUGAGGGGCUGACUGCCGGCAUUCCAGGACAAGAAAUUCUGCCCCUCCGGGGUGCAUCCUCCUUCUUCCAUUCUCAUGGAAGUGGUCAGCGACGUCAGGAAGCUCACUCCGUGUUUUCCAAGGAAAGAACACUGGUCCUGGAAUCGGCCUGCCUCUGGUUCCAGCAGGCCCGGCCAGGCCAUCCCGGCACCUCCGCUGGCUUCUCCUCCAACCCAUCAGGCUUGGUCAGUCCUUCUCUUCCAGCGACCUCAGAGUGGCAGAGCCAUUGGUGCAGCUAUAAAUGACUGAUGGCCCGGUUGUGUUGGAGGAAUUGUAAACACCAUUCAUAAUUCAUCGGGCGGGCAUGUGCUUUGCAUUUAGAAUGGCUGGUACCCGCAGCCUGCUGCGGAGCUGCAGGGAGACCUGGUGGACGACGUCCCCUGCACCCUCCAGGGCCAGUGGCUCAGCCAGGAUUCAGGGAGGCUCUAGUGGCUGGAUUAACUCAGGGCUUCAAGGCUGGCUUUUCACAGAGCUCCAUGUUUGAGGUAUUAGCUUAUCACCUGUUACUUAAUUUUUUCCUUUCCAUCAACUACCUUAUUUUACAUAAUUCAAUUUUAAAAAGGAAAAUUUGCAUCAUUUUCCAAAAUGAAAAUCAGUAUCUACUGCCCUUAAUAUCCAGUCCCAGCGAGGAGGAGGAAGUGCAUCUCUGAUUGGCUUGAUUUGGUUGUGUGCCCAUCCCUUAUCCAAUCACUGUGAUGAGAGUGUGUGUAACUCUGAUUGGCUUGAUCUGGUCAUGUGGUUACAUGUUAUCCAAUCACUGUGAUGAGGAUGUUUGGGACUAUGAUUGGCUUGAUUUGGUCAUGUGCCCACCUCUUAUCCAAUCACCAUGAUGAGGCUGGGCUGUGUAUGACUCUGAUUGGCCAGUAAUAGGUCACAUGCUCACUGGUGAUGUGACGGGCUGGGUCAAAGUGCAGGUCACUUUCUUCAGGGAAAUCCUGAUGUUGUGACAGGAGGAAGAGGAAGAGGAGGGACAUGUCAAAUAAUAUCGCCCACGGUUCUGUUCUCUAAAUGUUCCUCUUUCUCCCACACUGCUGAGCAGAGCUGUUGAGGUCUGCAAGGAACUGCUGGUGUAAAGUGUGGGAUUGAGCCCCUGUGCUCCCCAGGUGGGCCUUGGUGAGCCCCUGAGUGUGAACACAUGCCUGGGCUGAGCCCCUGAGAGUGAGGCCCUGUGUGUGAACACCUGCUUGGGGUGAGCCCCUGAGAGUGAGCCCCUGUGAACACAUGCCUGGGCUGAGUCCCUGAGAGUGAGCCCCUGUGUGUGAACACAUUCCCGGGGUGAUCCCCUGAGAGUGAGCCCCUGAAUGUGAACACCUUCCUGGGGUGAGCCUCUGAGAGUGAGCCCCUGUGAACACUUUCCUGGGUGAGCCCCUGAGAGUGAACCUCUGUGUGUGAACACCUGCCCGGGGUGAGCCCCUGAGAGUGAGCUCCUGUGUAUGACACCUUCCUGGGGUGAGCCCCUGAGAGUGAGCCCCUGAGUGUGAACACCUGCCUGGGAUGGGCACCUGUCCAGCAUGGGCAUCUGAAUGUGGGCAUGUGAACGUAUGCACCUGAGUAUGAACAGCAUUACCAUACCAUGCUCUCUGAGGAAUUCUCACUGUGAAGUUCCUGGUAAUAAAAGUCAAUCAAAACUCCAUGUUCUAUCGACCCAGCUCCCUCCACAUUCCACAUCUUCUUUCUGGUCUUAAAACAGGAAUUAAAAGAAAUUAAAGAAUGUGUAAGCAGAAACUCAGUUGUAUGUAAGAAAACCCAGGCCGGGCGCGGUGGCUCACGCUUGUA